Pelobates cultripes (western spadefoot toad) is the source of this 241-nucleotide non-coding RNA. The record is from the annotation of a GenBank genome assembly. Lineage: Eukaryota; Metazoa; Chordata; Amphibia; Anura; Pelobatidae.
CCUGUGUGUUCUAAUGCUUUUGUUUGGGUCCCAGGGGAAAUACAGGACUACCCAUAGAGCACGGUGCCAAUGACUUGUAACUCAUGUGAUAUUCCUACUCCUUAAAGGGACAUUCCAGAUCCAAAAAGCACUUCAACUUGCUGAAAAGCUUUAUGUGUGAAGACUGUGUCCUUUUUUUAAUUUUACAAAUAGUGAAGAUUUCAAUAAAAAUUGGUGGUUUUAUAAAUAAACCUUGUUUCAC